CAGGCUUAACACAUGCAAGUCGAGGGGCAUCAGGAAGAAAGCUUGCUUUCUUUGCUGGCGACCGGCGCACGGGUGAGUAACACGUAUCCAACCUGCCCUUUACUCAGGGAUAGCCUUUCGAAAGAAAGAUUAAUACCCGAUAGCAUAAUGAUUCCGCAUGGUUUCAUUAUUAAAGGAUUCCGGUAAAGGAUGGGGAUGCGUUCCAUUAGGUUGUUGGUGAGGUAACGGCUCACCAAGCCUUCGAUGGAUAGGGGUUCUGAGAGGAAGGUCCCCCACAUUGGAACUGAGACACGGUCCAAACUCCUACGGGAGGCAGCAGUGAGGAAUAUUGGUCAAUGGGCGCUAGCCUGAACCAGCCAAGUAGCGUGAAGGAUGAAGGCUCUAUGGGUCGUAAACUUCUUUUAUAUAAGAAUAAAGUGCAGUAUGUAUACUGUUUUGUAUGUAUUAUAUGAAUAAGGAUCGGCUAACUCCGUGCCAGCAGCCGCGGUAAUACGGAGGAUCCGAGCGUUAUCCGGAUUUAUUGGGUUUAAAGGGAGCGUAGGUGGACUGGUAAGUCAGUUGUGAAAGUUUGCGGCUCAACCGUAAAAUUGCAGUUGAUACUGUCAGUCUUGAGUACAGUAGAGGUGGGCGGAAUUCGUGGUGUAGCGGUGAAAUGCUUAGAUAUCACGAAGAACUCCGAUUGCGAAGGCAGCUCACUGGACUGCAACUGACACUGAUGCUCGAAAGUGUGGGUAUCAAACAGGAUUAGAUACCCUGGUAGUCCACACAGUAAACGAUGAAUACUCGCUGUUUGCGAUAUACAGUAAGCGGCCAAGCGAAAGCAUUAAGUAUUCCACCUGGGGAGUACGCCGGCAACGGUGAAACUCAAAGGAAUUGACGGGGGCCCGCACAAGCGGAGGAACAUGUGGUUUAAUUCGAUGAUACGCGAGGAACCUUACCCGGGCUUAAAUUGCAGUGGAAUGAUGUGGAAACAUGUCAGUGAGCAAUCACCGCUGUGAAGGUGCUGCAUGGUUGUCGUCAGCUCGUGCCGUGAGGUGUCGGCUUAAGUGCCAUAACGAGCGCAACCCUUAUCUUCAGUUACUAACAGGUCAUGCUGAGGACUCUGGAGAGACUGCCGUCGUAAGAUGUGAGGAAGGUGGGGAUGACGUCAAAUCAGCACGGCCCUUACGUCCGGGGCUACACACGUGUUACAAUGGGGGGUACAGAAGGCAGCUAGCGGGUGACCGUAUGCUAAUCCCAAAAUCCUCUCUCAGUUCGGAUCGAAGUCUGCAACCCGACUUCGUGAAGCUGGAUUCGCUAGUAAUCGCGCAUCAGCCACGGCGCGGUGAAUACGUUCCCGGGCCUUGUACACACCGCCCGUCAAGCCAUGGGAGCCGGGGGUACCUGAAGUACGUAACCGCAAGGAUCGUCCUAGGGUAAAACUGGUGACUGGGGC
RNAcentral lists this ribosomal RNA (1435 nucleotides) under uncultured organism. RNAcentral's name for it is "16S ribosomal RNA". It matches the Rfam family "Bacterial small subunit ribosomal RNA". The record is from RNAcentral.